AAGCAGGGGAUCGUAAGACCUUGCGCUUUUGGAGCGGCCGAUGCCUGAUUAGCUAGUUGGUGGGGUAAAGGCUUACCAAGGCAACGAUCAGUAGUUGGUCUGAGAGGACGACCAGCCACACUGGGACUGAGACACGGCCCAGACUCCUACGGGAGGCAGCAGUGGGGAAUUUUGGACAAUGGGCGCAAGCCUGAUCCAGCAAUGCCGCGUGAGUGAAGAAGGCCUUCGGGUUGUAAAGCUCUUUCAGUCGGGAAGAAAAGGUUGUGACUAAUAAUCACAAUUCAUGACGGUACCGACAGAAGAAGCACCGGCUAACUACGUGCCAGCAGCCGCGGUAAUACGUAGGGUGCAAGCGUUAAUCGGAAUUACUGGGCGUAAAGGGUGCGCAGGCGGCUUUGUAAGUCAGAUGUGAAAUCCCCGGGCUUAACCUGGGAAUUGCGUUUGAAACUACAAGACUAGAGU
This 462-nucleotide ribosomal RNA is filed under the name uncultured ammonia-oxidizing beta proteobacterium. RNAcentral describes it as "bacterial SSU rRNA". It matches the Rfam family "Bacterial small subunit ribosomal RNA", at positions 202 to 647 of the family's 1533-position model. The record is from RNAcentral. Lineage: Bacteria; Pseudomonadati; Pseudomonadota; Betaproteobacteria.